GGCUCCAUAGCUCAGAGGUUAGAGUGCUGGUCUUGUAAACCAGUAGUCAUGAGUUUGAGUCUCAUUGGGGCCU
This is a non-coding RNA of Rhincodon typus (whale shark), 73 nucleotides long. The record is from the annotation of a RefSeq genome assembly. NCBI's taxonomy places the organism in Eukaryota, Metazoa, Chordata, Chondrichthyes, Orectolobiformes, Rhincodontidae.